This 1008-nucleotide ribosomal RNA is filed under the name Triticum aestivum (bread wheat). RNAcentral's name for it is "partial small subunit ribosomal RNA". The record is from RNAcentral. Lineage: Eukaryota; Viridiplantae; Streptophyta; Magnoliopsida; Poales; Poaceae.
AUGAAUUGGACCUCCAUGCUCCUUUCCUCUGGUACUUCUUCAGUGUUGCUUAAUGGGGUGCCAGGAAAAUUCUUUCAUUGCAAUCAAGGGGUUAGACAAGGUGACCCUGUCUCUCCUUUGCUAUUUGUGUUGGCUGCUGACCUACUCCAAUCCACCCUCAAUGAAGCUAUGCAAAAUCAGCUGAUUCUUCCUCCUAUUGUUAGUCAAGCUUGCCCUGACUUCCCAGUGAUUCAGUUUGCUGAUGAUACCAUCUUAGUCCUGCCAGCUGAUAUGAGACAAAUUGAGCAAAUCAAAAAUCUCCUCCUUCAUUACUCUGCUUUCACAGGUCUGAGAGUGAAUUAUGAGAAAUCCUUCUUGGUUCCACUAAAUGUACCAAUCACACAGCUUCACUCUUUGCUUAAUGUUUUGGGCUGCCAGCAAGGUCAUUUUCCUUUCACCUAUUUAGGUCUCCCUCUUGGCACAACAAAACCAAAAAUUGAAGAUUUUAACCCAAUGAUGCAAAGAAUUGAAAGAAGGCUUUCUGGCUGCUCCACUAUGUUAUCUUAUGAUGACAGGCUUUUGCUUAUAAAAUCAGUUUUUGCAUGUCUGUCAAUUUUCUUCAUGAGCUGUCUAGCUCUCCCAGUUGGUGUGUUACAGCAAAUCAACAAGUACUUGAGAAAUUUCCUUUGGAGGAAAUUUGGUAUGGAGGAUAGAGGAACUGCACUUAUUGCUUGGUCCAAGGUUUGUAGGCCAAAAAAGCAAGGAGGACUUGGAAUACUUGAUAUCUCUAUUCACAACAAGGCACUACUAAUGAAAAAUCUGCUUAAAUUUCUCAAUAAGGAGCAUAUACCUUGGAUUAAUUUGAUCUGGGAGAAAUAUUACCACACUGAACUGCUAAGAAGGAAAGUUGAAGGCUCUUUCUGGUGGAAGUCUCAUAUUGCUCUCCUGGAGAGAUUCAAACAAAUCAGCAAAUGCUCCAUUGGGUCAGGACAAUCUAUUCUCUGUUGGUCAGAUACUUGGUUGGAAUAG